AGUCGACGGCAGCGCGGGGCAACCUGGCGGCGAGUGGCGAACGGGUGAGUAAUAUAUCGGAACGUACCCAAGAGUGGGGGAUAACGUAGCGAAAGUUACGCUAAUACCGCAUACGAUCUAAGGAUGAAAGCAGGGGAUCUUCGGACCUUGUGCUCCUGGAGCGGCCGAUAUCUGAUUAGCUAGCUGGUGAGGUAAAGGCUCACCAAGGCCACGAUCAGUAGCUGGUCUGAGAGGACGACCAGCCACACUGGAACUGAGACACGGUCCAGACUCCUACGGGAGGCAGCAGUGGGGAAUUUUGGACAAUGGGCGAAAGCCUGAUCCAGCAAUGCCGCGUGAGUGAAGAAGGCCUUCGGGUUGUAAAGCUCUUUUGUCAGGGAAGAAACGGUGAGGGCUAAUAUCCCUCGCUAAUGACGGUACCUGAAGAAUAAGCACCGGCUAACUACGUGCCAGCAGCCGCGGUAAUACGUAGGGUGCAAGCGUUAAUCGGAAUUACUGGGCGUAAAGCGUGCGCAGGCGGUUUUGUAAGUCUGACGUGAAAUCCCCGGGCUCAACCUGGGAAUUGCGUUGGAGACUGCAAGGCUAGAAUCUGGCAGAGGGGGGUAGAAUUCCACGUGUAGCAGUGAAAUGCGUAGAGAUGUGGAGGAACACCGAUGGCGAAGGCAGCCCCCUGGGUCAAGAUUGACGCUCAUGCACGAAAGCGUGGGGAGCAAACAGGAUUAGAUACCCUGGUAGUCCACGCCCUAAACGAUGUCUACUAGUUGUCGGGUUUUAAUUAACUUGGUAACGCAGCUAACGCGUGAAGUAGACCGCCUGGGGAGUACGGUCGCAAGAUUAAAACUCAAAGGAAUUGAC
This 855-nucleotide ribosomal RNA is filed under the name uncultured bacterium. RNAcentral describes it as "bacterial SSU rRNA". It matches the Rfam family "Bacterial small subunit ribosomal RNA", at positions 60 to 914 of the family's 1533-position model. The record is from RNAcentral.